UACGUAGGGGGCUAGCGUUGUCCGGAUUUAUUGGGCGUAAAGAGCGUGUAGGCGGCCAGGUAGGUCUGCUGUGAAAACUCGAGGCUCAACCUCGAGACGUCGGCGGAAACCAUCUGGCUAGAGUCCGGAAGAGGAGAGUGGAAUUCCUGGUGUAGCGGUGAAAUGCGCAGAUAUCAGGAAGAACACCUAUGGCGAAGGCAGCACUCUGGGACGGUACUGACGCUGAGACGCGAAAGCGUGGGGAGCGAACAGG
This 253-nucleotide ribosomal RNA is filed under the name uncultured bacterium. RNAcentral describes it as "partial 16S ribosomal RNA". It matches the Rfam family "Bacterial small subunit ribosomal RNA", at positions 524 to 776 of the family's 1533-position model. The record is from RNAcentral.